Molecule: ribosomal RNA, 892 nt
Filed under: uncultured bacterium
Lineage: Bacteria
Description: bacterial SSU rRNA
Rfam family: Bacterial small subunit ribosomal RNA
Source: RNAcentral
GACGAACGCUGGCGGCGUGCUUAACACAUGCAAGUCGAACGAAGAGCGAUGGGAGCUUGCUCCUAUCAAUCUUAGUGGCGAACGGGUGAGUAACGCGUAAUCAACCUGCCCUUCAAUGGGGGACAACAGUUGGAAACGACUGCUAAUACCGCAUACGAUCGUAAUUCGGCAUCGAGAUACGAUGAAAGGUGGCCUCUAUUUAUAAGCUAUCGUUGAAGGAGGGGAUUGCGUCUGAUUAGUUAGUUGGAGGGGUAACGGCCCACCAAGGCAAUGAUCAGUAGCCGGUCUGAGAGGAUGAACGGCCACAUUGGGACUGAGACACGGCCCAAACUCCUACGGGAGGCAGCAGUGGGGAAUCUUCCGCAAUGGACGAAAGUCUGACGGAGCAACGCCGCGUGAGUGAUGAAGGUCUUCGGAUUGUAAAGCUCUGUUAAUCGGGACGAAAGAGCCUAGUGUGAAUAAUGCUAGGAAGUGACGGUACCGGAAUAGAAAGCCACGGCUAACUACGUGCCAGCAGCCGCGGUAAUACGUAGGUGGCGAGCGUUGUCCGGAAUUAUUGGGCGUAAAGAGCAUGUAGGCGGCUUAAUAAGUCGAGCGUGAAAAUGCGGGGCUCAACCCCGUAUGGCGCUGGAAACUGUUAGGCUUGAGUGCAGGAGAGGAAAGGGGAAUUCCCAGUGUAGCGGNNNNNNGCGUAGAUAUUGGGAGGAACACCAGCGGCGAANGCGCCUUUCUGGACUGUGUCUGACGCUGANAUGCGAAAGCCAGGGUAGCGAACGGGAUUAGAUACCCCGGUAGUCCUGGNCGUAAACGAUGGGUACUANGUGUAGGAGGUAUCGACCCCUUCUGUGCCGGAGUUAACGCAAUAAGUACCCCGCCUGGGGAGUACGGNCGC